Molecule: long non-coding RNA, 256 nt
Organism: Hippocampus comes (tiger tail seahorse)
Lineage: Eukaryota; Metazoa; Chordata; Actinopteri; Syngnathiformes; Syngnathidae
Exons: 2
Source: RefSeq, a predicted model, not a curated record
UAAGCUUAUGUUAUAUUAUUAAUUAUUAUCAUUUUAUGUUUGAGCAUCAUAUUCUUUCGUGUGAAGAAUACCUAAAUUAUAGUCUGUUGUUUAAUAAUUGCUGAGACAUAUUUUUAUGUUGAUAGGUUCUGAUUGGCUGUUGAAGUAAGAGAAGCAGGAAGUGAUUUUAGUUACGAGGAGAGUUGUGUUCUCGAGCGUGCUGCGUUGCAGACAUCUCUCUUUUUUUCCCCUUUUAAUAAAACUGCAUUCAAAUGAU